RNAcentral lists this long non-coding RNA (1249 nucleotides) under Homo sapiens (human). RNAcentral's name for it is "HSALNT0135849". Lineage: Eukaryota; Metazoa; Chordata; Mammalia; Primates; Hominidae. The record is from RNAcentral.
GCCAAGGUGGGUGGAUCCCCUGAGGUUCAGGGCUCAAGACCAGCCUGGCCAACAUGGUGAAAACCCAUCUCUACUAAAAAUACAAAAAAUCAGCUGGGCAUGGUAGCAGUUGCCUGUAAUUCCAGCUACUCAGGAGACUGAAGCAGGAGAAUCACUUGAACCCAGGAGGUGGAGGUUUCAGUGAGCUGAGAUCGCACCACUGCACUUCAGCCUGGGCAACAGGGCAAGACUGUCUCAAAAAAAAGAGUCACCAGAGAGCUUGCUCCUCCCUGCCUUUGGGAACUGCCCCCACAGUCAUUGACGCAGUCACUCAGGAGAUCACCUUCCCAAUUGCAUUUUAGAAGGAAGUGGCAGAUUCAUGAUGCAGAAGGGAGGAGAGAAGGCAGGAGGUGAAGGAGAUGGCACAGGCAGAGGUACAGAGUGGUGACUGAAACCACACGCCAUGUUGGGAGACUUCCAAACAAGUCUAGAGAGUUGGCACUUAGGGAUGAAGAAAUCAUCUUCUGGUCAGUGGCCCGGACAAUGCUUUUGAUGAACAGAUGAUGAGUGACAAUGCAAGAUGAACUGUGACAAGGAUCCCGUGGGUUGUCAAAUGAGUUAAGAGGAAGGAAAAAUUCCUUUGGGUUGCCGAGGCCAAGACAAGCUUCAUUUCAAGCUUAGUCUUGAAGAUGAGUGGGAUUAAGAUAAAAAAUAAAGAAUGGAAAUGAGCAUGAACAAAAACGUGAUGGUGAAAGCAUAUUUGCUAUUUUCAAAAGCCAGGAGCAGUGCUAUCAGUGACAGGCAAACAGGCCUGGAAAAGAAGGUACCAAGACAAGGAUAUCUUCAAAAUACAGGCUUGAGCACUUAAUCUAAAGCCAGAAAAAAACAUUGGCUUCAACUGUCCAUCAAACUCUAUUAAAUAUAAGAAAGUUUCCUAAAUAUAUCAUUUUUCCCUGUUAGAAUUCAUUGUCUCUACUGAUUUCAAAAUCAGCAAAUAUUUAUUGUAAAAAAGAAAGAAAAAAUACUUGUUAAAAUCUAUUUCUAUAAAAACUACUGCUACUGGUUUCUCCCUAAAUGCUCGGCAGUGAGCAAAGAAAGAUACUGUUAACAUUUAGUAGCUGCUGCGGUCACCUUGGCAUAAUCGAGUGAACACAGACUUUAAUGGCAGUUUAAUUAGAUUUACCACGGGGAAGAUGUCACACAGGAGAUGCGAUGCUUCUGUAUUUAGAAACCUAUAUGAUGACAUGAAUAAAUAAAAAAUGAACAGAAA